GGAGAGAUGUCCGAGUGGCCGAAGGAGCUUGUCUCGAAAACAAGUGUAGGGGCAACCUUACCGCGGGUUCAAAUCCCGCUCUCUCCGCCA
Molecule: transfer RNA, 90 nt
Filed under: Clostridium manihotivorum
Lineage: Bacteria; Bacillati; Bacillota; Clostridia; Eubacteriales; Clostridiaceae
Description: tRNA-Ser
Rfam family: tRNA
About the family: Transfer RNA (tRNA) molecules are approximately 80 nucleotides in length. Their secondary structure includes four short double-helical elements and three loops (D, anti-codon, and T loops). Further hydrogen bonds mediate the characteristic L-shaped molecular structure. tRNAs have two regions of fundamental functional importance: the anti-codon, which is responsible for specific mRNA codon recognition, and the 3' end, to which the tRNAs corresponding amino acid is attached (by aminoacyl-tRNA synthetases). tRNAs cope with the degeneracy of the genetic code in two manners: having more than one tRNA (with a specific anti-codon) for a particular amino acid; and 'wobble' base-pairing, i.e. permitting non-standard base-pairing at the 3rd anti-codon position.
Source: RNAcentral